Phrynosoma platyrhinos (Desert horned lizard) is the source of this 75-nucleotide non-coding RNA. The record is from the annotation of a GenBank genome assembly. NCBI's taxonomy places the organism in Eukaryota, Metazoa, Chordata, Lepidosauria, Squamata, Phrynosomatidae.
GGCCUGAAUGUGGCAUAGUGGUUUGAGCGUUGGACUAUGACUCUAGAGACCUGGGUUCAAUUCCCUGCUUGGCCA